GGCGUGGUAGCUCAUCGGCAGAGCGUCCGAGACUUGUUCUCGGAAGGUAGGUGGGUCAGUACCACCCCGCGCCACCA
Molecule: transfer RNA, 77 nt
Filed under: Candidatus Bathyarchaeota archaeon
Lineage: Archaea; Thermoproteati; Candidatus Bathyarchaeota
Description: tRNA-OTHER
Source: RNAcentral